UGUAAUAAAGUUAUAACUAAUGUAAGUUUGUCAGGCUUAAGAAUAGAUAAUUCCAC
This 56-nucleotide transfer RNA is filed under the name Parachtes riberai. Its description in RNAcentral is "tRNA-Asp". The record is from RNAcentral. Lineage: Eukaryota; Metazoa; Arthropoda; Arachnida; Araneae; Dysderidae.